CGUCGGCGCACCCACCGGCGUAAGCGGACUCACCGGAGGAUCGUUCACCGGCCUCAGCGGCUUCACCGGAGGAGUACCCACCGGCUUCAGCGGCUUCACCGGAGGGGCAGUCAACGGCUUCAGCGGCUUCAACGGAGGCUCACCCAUCGGGAUCACAGGAGGCGCACCCACCGUUGUAAGCGGCCUCACCGGAGGACCACCCACCGGCUUCAGCGGCUUCACAGGAGGGGCAGUCAACGGCUUCAGCGGCUUCAACGGAGGCUCACCCAUCGGGAUCACAGGAGGCGCACCCACCGUUGUAAGCGGCCUCACCGGAGGACCACCCACCGGCUUCAGCGGCUUCACCGGAGGCGUAGUCAACGGCUUCACCGGCUUCGCCGGGGGUCCAACCAGUGGCUUAAGUGGAGGUUUAACCAGACGCCUUAGGAGAGGCCUUAGGAGAGGCAUCAGAAGAGGCUUCUUCGGCGACGUUCCCGCCUUUGGCCGUUUUGGUGAUUUUGUCUCCGACAUUUUCGACUCUCCUCUCAGAGCCAGAGUGAGAACCCCACCGCAAUCUCUCGUGAAGGGAACAUACUAAAGGACAGAAGUGGAGGUCUCAUGCAUUCAACGUUUUUGAAAGAUCUGGAUACGGAUGAAUAAACUGUUUCAGGAAUUA
This is a long non-coding RNA of Haliotis rubra (blacklip abalone), 655 nucleotides long. RefSeq lists it as uncharacterized. NCBI's taxonomy places the organism in Eukaryota, Metazoa, Mollusca, Gastropoda, Lepetellida, Haliotidae. The record is from RefSeq and is a predicted model, not a curated record. The transcript is spliced from 2 exons.